This is a non-coding RNA of Paramuricea clavata, 73 nucleotides long. NCBI's taxonomy places the organism in Eukaryota, Metazoa, Cnidaria, Anthozoa, Malacalcyonacea, Plexauridae. The record is from the annotation of a GenBank genome assembly.
GUUUCUGUAGUGAAGUGGUCAUCACGUCCGCUUCGCACGCCCAACGUCCCCAGUUCGAACCUGGGCAAAAACA